GGCAUAAUAGCUUAAGGGGUAGAGCGUGAGAUUGUUAAUUUUGGUGUAUUAGUUCGAGUCUAGUUUAUGUCG
Molecule: transfer RNA, 72 nt
Filed under: Iotrochota birotulata (green finger sponge)
Lineage: Eukaryota; Metazoa; Porifera; Demospongiae; Poecilosclerida; Iotrochotidae
Description: tRNA-Asn
Rfam family: tRNA
About the family: Transfer RNA (tRNA) molecules are approximately 80 nucleotides in length.
Source: RNAcentral